UAGUCCACGCCGUAAACGAUGGAUACUAGCUGUUCGGUCGCAAGACUGAGUGGCUAAGCGAAAGUGAUAAGUAUCCCACCUGGGGAGUACGUUCGCAAGAAUGAAACUCAAAGGAAUUGACGGGGGCCCGCACAAGCGGUGGAGCAUGUGGUUUAAUUCGAUGAUACGCGAGGAACCUUACCAGGGCUUAAAUGUAGUCUGACAGGGCCAGAAAUGGCUUUUUCUUCGGACAGAUUACAAGGUGCUGCAUGGUUGUCGUCAGCUCGUGCCGUGAGGUGUCAGGUUAAGUCCUAUAACGAGCGCAACCCCUGUUGUUAGUUGUCAUCGAGUAAUGUCGGGAACUCUAACAAGACUGCCGGUGCAAACCGUGAGGAAGGUGGGGAUGACGUCAAAUCAUCACGGGCCCUUACGUCCUGGGGCCACACACGUGCUACAAUGGUAGGGGACAGGAGAGCAGCCACUACGCGAGUAGGGAGCGAAUCU
This 483-nucleotide ribosomal RNA is filed under the name uncultured bacterium. RNAcentral's name for it is "bacterial SSU rRNA". It matches the Rfam family "Bacterial small subunit ribosomal RNA", at positions 791 to 1274 of the family's 1533-position model. The record is from RNAcentral.